RNAcentral lists this long non-coding RNA (201 nucleotides) under Prunus persica (peach). RNAcentral describes it as "long non-coding RNA (PPER_LNC000711)". The record is from RNAcentral. Lineage: Eukaryota; Viridiplantae; Streptophyta; Magnoliopsida; Rosales; Rosaceae.
UGAAAAUAGGAAGAAGUAUAAUAUACAACUAUGUGUAUUUACUUCUUACAUUGGCUUUGGUUUUACUCUUUGCAUAAUCUUUCGGUUGAGAGAGCUUUUUCAACUAUGAAUAUUGUAAAAACACCAUUGCGUAACAAAAUAGGUAAUUAAUGGUUGAGUGAUAGCUUGGUUGUUUACAUUGAGAAAGAUGUUUUUUUCUUG